UACAGAGGGGGCAAGCGUUGUUCGGAAUUACUGGGCGUAAAGGGCGCGUAGGCGGCCUUCUAAGUCGAACGUGAAAUCCCCGGGCUCAACCCGGGAACUGCGUCCGAUACUGGAAGGCUUGAAUCCGGGAGAGGGAUGUGGAAUUCCAGGUGUAGCGGUGAAAUGCGUAGAUAUCGGGAGGAACAUCGAUGGCGAAGGCAAUCACCUGGGCCUGAACUGACACUGCGACACGAAAGCGUGGGUAGCAAACAGG
This 253-nucleotide ribosomal RNA is filed under the name uncultured bacterium. RNAcentral's name for it is "partial 16S ribosomal RNA". It matches the Rfam family "Bacterial small subunit ribosomal RNA", at positions 524 to 776 of the family's 1533-position model. The record is from RNAcentral.